Molecule: ribosomal RNA, 484 nt
Filed under: uncultured bacterium
Lineage: Bacteria
Description: bacterial SSU rRNA
Rfam family: Bacterial small subunit ribosomal RNA
Source: RNAcentral
CUACGUGCCAGCAGCCGCGGUAAUACGGAAGGUCCAGGCGUUAUCCGGAUUUAUUGGGUUUAAAGGGAGCGUAGGCUGGAGAUUAAGUGUGUUGUGAAAUGUAGACGCUCAACGUCUGAAUUGCAGCGCGAACUGGUUCACUUGAGUAUGCACAACGUAGGCGGAAUUCGUCGUGUAGCGGUGAAAUGCUUAGAUAUGACGAAGAACUCCGAUUGCGAAGGCAGCUUACGGGAGCACAACUGACGCUGAAGCUCGAAGGUGCGGGUAUCAAACAGGAUUAGAUACCCUGGUAGUCCGCACAGUAAACGAUGGAUGCCCGUUGUUAGUUCACCUAAGAAUUAGCGACCAAGCGAAAGCAUUAAGCAUCCCACCUGGGGAGUACGCCGGCAACGGUGAAACUCAAAGGAAUUGACGGGGGCCCGCACAAGCGGAGGAACAUGUGGUUUAAUUCGAUGAUACGCGAGGAACCUUACCCGGGCUUGAA